Molecule: non-coding RNA, 45 nt
Organism: Ricinus communis (castor bean)
Lineage: Eukaryota; Viridiplantae; Streptophyta; Magnoliopsida; Malpighiales; Euphorbiaceae
Source: Rfam
AUGGAAGUGAUGAUUAUUUCCCCAGAUGAUCGACGCUGAACAAAC